Long non-coding RNA from Saccostrea echinata, 255 nucleotides. RefSeq lists it as uncharacterized. The record is from RefSeq and is a predicted model, not a curated record. The transcript is spliced from 3 exons. Lineage: Eukaryota; Metazoa; Mollusca; Bivalvia; Ostreida; Ostreidae.
GACAAGAAGAAUGUAUCUAAACAAUGGACCAAAUUAUCUUGCACAUGUUGAUGGGUACUACAAGUUGAAGCCAUUUGGCUUCGCUAUACAUGGUGCAAUGUGUGGAUUUUCAAGACGAAUACUAUGGCUUAAAGUUGCAAGAACAAACAAUGACUCCUUUGUUGUAGCAUCAUAUUUCUUGAAAUUCCUGGAGGAAAUAAAUAGUGCUCCAAGGUGUGAGACUUGAUGCUGGAACUGAGAAUAUAUACAUUGAGG